Molecule: ribosomal RNA, 253 nt
Filed under: uncultured bacterium
Lineage: Bacteria
Description: partial 16S ribosomal RNA
Rfam family: Bacterial small subunit ribosomal RNA
Source: RNAcentral
UACAGAGGGUGCGAGCGUUAAUCGGAAUUACUGGGCGUAAAGCGUGCGUAGACGGUUAUCUAAGUCGGAUGUGAAAGCCCCGGGCUCAACCUGGGAAUUGCAUUCGAGACUGAAUAGCUAGAGUGCGGUAGAGGGAAGCGGAAUUUCCGGUGUAGCGGUGAAAUGCGUAGAUAUCGGAAGGAACAUCGGUGGCGAAAGCGGCUUCCUGGACCAACACCGACGCUCAGGCACGAAAGCGUGGGGAGCAAACAGG